AGCGAACGCUGGCGGCAGGCCUAACACAUGCAAGUCGAACGAACUCUUCGGAGUUAGUGGCGGACGGGUGAGUAACACGUGGGAACGUGCCUUUUGGUUCGGAAUAACUCAGGGAAACUUGUGCUAAUACCGAAUGUGCCCUUCGGGGGAAAGAUUUAUCGCCAUUAGAGCGGCCCGCGUCUGAUUAGCUAGUUGGUGAGGUAACGGCUCACCAAGGCGACGAUCAGUAGCUGGUCUGAGAGGAUGACCAGCCACACUGGGACUGAGACACGGCCCAGACUCCGACGGAAGGCAGCAGUGGGGAAUCUUGCGCAAUGGGCGAAAGCCUGACGCAGCCAUGCCGCGUGAAUGAUGAAGGUCUUAGGAUUGUAAAAUUCUUUCACCGGGGACGAUAAUGACGGUACCCGGAGAAGAAGCCCCGGCUAACUUCGU
RNAcentral lists this ribosomal RNA (432 nucleotides) under uncultured bacterium. RNAcentral's name for it is "partial 16S ribosomal RNA". It matches the Rfam family "Bacterial small subunit ribosomal RNA", at positions 29 to 506 of the family's 1533-position model. The record is from RNAcentral.